GAAAGAAAGCUAGCCCUGCAGGAAAGCGAGGAAGUGUGUGCACACCUCUGAUCCCUGAGUGGCUCUGCUCCGACCUUCGCCUCCCACUGGGUGGGGCGGGCUUUUAAGAGCAGCUGGGGUGCAGGCCCCGGUCAGUGGAGCCGGGUGGCCUGUCUGCACCUCUCCCGGCUGGAGCGCGCUGCUCUGAGUGAGCUCCAAGCGGCCGGCCUAGCUCUGCGCCCCUCGCCACCGUCCACCCGGAGCAAAGAGGGACCUCCCUGCCCACCUGCCCGGCCAUGGAGGAGGACGCUGCCCACGCCGCCAAGUCCCAGCACCCGGGCUCCGAGCUGCGGCCGGAGAAGCCGGCCAGCCCCAGCCCGGCGCCCUCGUCCACGCCCAGCCCCAGCCUGCAUCUGGGCAGCACGGACGAGGCCCUCCGGGACCACGCGCAGGUGAAUGCGGUCACGGUGCUCACGCUCCUGGACAAGCUGGUGAAGAUGAUGGACGUGGUGCAGGAGAACCAGCACAAGAUGGAGCAGCGGCAGGUCAGCCUGGAGGGCUCCGUGAAGGGCAUCCAGAACGACCUGACCAAGCUCUCCAAGUACCAGGCCUCCACGGGCAACACGGUGAGCAAGCUGCUGGACAAGUCCCGCAAGGUGAGCGCGCACACGCGCGCCGUCCGCGAGCGCCUGGAGCGGCAGUGCGCGCAGGUGAAGCGGCUGGAGAGCAACCACGCCCAGCUCCUGCGGCGCAACCACUUCAAAGUGCUCAUCUUCCAGGAAGAGCAUGAGAUCCCCGCCAGUGUGUUUGCCAAGGAGCCCGUGCCCAGCCCCAACGAAGGGAAGGAGGACCUCGCCGACGAGAACAAGUCCUUGGAGGAGACCCUGCACACGGUGGACCUCUCGUCGGAAGAGGAGUUGGCCCACGACGAGGAGGCCCUGGAAGACAGCGCAGAGGAAAGUAUGGGAGAGAGCAGAGCCGAGAAGAUCAAGAGGUCCAGCCUCCGGAAGGUGGACAGCCUCAAGAAGGCCUUCUCCCGCCAGAACAUCGAGAAGCAGAUGAACAGGCUGGGGACAAAGAUCGUGUCUGUGGAGAGGAGGGAGAAGAUUAAGAAAUCGUUCGCUUCCAACCACCAGAAAACAUCCUCCGGGAAGAGCUCCCCCUUCAAGGUCUCCCCUCUCACUUUCGGGCGCAAGAAAAUCCGAGAGGGGGAAAGCGCUGGGGAGAACGAGACCAAGUCCGAAGACGCGCCCAGCAAUGAGCACGUGCCCAACGACCAUGACCACGAGGGGAGCUCCCUGGCCGAGGGCCUCUCCCAAGCAUCCCUCUCCAGCGUCCUGGCCGAAGGGAAGGGGGCCGAGGGGGAGAGUGGGAGGGCAGCCUCGCGGGGGAGUAACUCUGGCAUGGACAGCAACGUGGACUUGACCGUCGAGGUAGAUGAGGAGUCACUGGUGGCCCGGGAACAGGCACAGAAGGUGCGCCAUGAGGCCGGCUACUCGCUCAACUCCAAGGAGGCAGAGGGGUCGGAAGAGGAGGCCGCCCAGCCCCCGGUGCUGCAGGUGGGCCAGAUGGCCUGAGCAGGAGGCCCACUGGGCCCAGCGGUGCCUGCAGGCAGGUGGGAGCCUGGAACACGCGUCCACGUGCCUCCAGCGCUCCCCACUCACCACUGUGUUGUUGCCCAUGCAGCAGCACACACGUGACCAAGAUUCACUAUGAAGGCAGCCUGUUGGGGGCUCCAUUUCUAAUUUGCUCCUAGGUUCUGUUUCUGUAGGAUUUCUCCAAGAUUGCCCAGAAGACAUGAAGCAGUUGCAAAACAUUGAUCAGGUUAGCUUAGUCAGAGAACCAGGGGCUCCUGAAGACACUAGUCAUGAAAGGCGAUUGAUUUGGGGUCAUUCCAUAAGCUUGCUGCAUAACGUACCAGUAAUACAUGGAAUUUCCACAGAACUCCGUGCAUCUGUUAGUUAUUUUUCAGGUGUGUGAUAUACGAUAUACAUGUGUGUUUAAGCUAAAGGGGUAACUGCUUUUUUAAAAAAAGAAAACACAUUUUUGAGAAGUAGAAGAAAAAAUUCAGUUGACCAUCCACUUAAUGGAAACCAUUAUUUUCUUGAAAAUAAAGUAAAAAUUGUAAUUUUAGCUAAUGAAGUAAGACAUGUAGGAAAAUCAGGAAUCUUAGAAAAAGAAAACUAGAAAAUGAUGUGGGAAAAUAAGAAAAACAGGAACAAAGAUGCCAAAGAAAAUGAAGACACAGAGAGGAAAAAAAAUCUGAGUCUCAUUCUUCCAGUUUAACUUUCUUGACAUCACCUUGCCAGCUCUGGGGAGCAUGUGAAUUGAUUGCAGCUGCUUGAUGAAUUUGAUAUUUCCAUCUGCAUUUUUGCUGUUUGGUACCAGACCUCAUAAUACCUUAAGUAGUCCUGCAAACAUGAAUGUAUCGAGCUGUGCAUUCAGUUGAUCCGCACAGAUAAACCUUGUCUGCUGCACUGUCAUCCAUCUGGUGGAAGACUUCCUUCCACUCCUGGCCCUCAGCAUGCCUGUUUCACCUUUACCAGGUUGCCAUCACUUCUUGCUGCCAAAGAGUUGGAGGGUCCAGAGUUAAUGUGGUGAUUACAUUUCCUUUUCCAAAAAUGCGUAUGUUGUGUAGUGAAAAACUACACUCAGGCAUCUUUUUAGAUUUUACCGACAAACAAUUUACUCUAUGCUCCACAUUCGAAGCAUUGAAAUCCUCAGCAAUAAACAGAGAAUAAGGCCAGAUAAUUGUUGGAAAACACAUACGUCAGGAUUACAGAGAGGAGAGCCGUUGUGGAAGCAGAGCUGUUUCCUCUGUGUUAUUGUUGAAUUAUUUGCAUUCUGGUGAGGCUGCACAGUCCCCAAAUAAGAUAUGUCUUCCCCCUGCCCAGCCACUAACCCACUUCUAACUCAUGUGCCUGGAGCUCACGGGAUUAGUUCCCCCCCAAAGGUUGGUUGUACAUUAAUAAGCACUGAGAUCCAUAUCUUAGAAACAUAAUUCAGGAGCAAGAAACUUCAUUACAUGGAUCACAAAUCUCACAGAAAUAUAGCAAAGAUGUCACUUUUCUACGAGAUUUUACUUUUAAAAUAUAUAGAUAUAUAUUUCAGCAGGAACAUUUUUCUCUUUCCAAUUAGGCAUCCAGCCUGUGUCGGGAUUUCUUUAUACACAGGAAAAUAAAAGACCCACACUAGGGCCAGUUUGGCAUAAAAUAAAGAUUUUUUUUCACAUGUAUUGUGUGAUGAAAGCCCA
Molecule: RNA transcript, 3232 nt
Organism: Myotis lucifugus (little brown bat)
Lineage: Eukaryota; Metazoa; Chordata; Mammalia; Chiroptera; Vespertilionidae
Gene: CAVIN2
Gene name: caveolae associated protein 2
Exons: 3
Source: RefSeq, a predicted model, not a curated record